Long non-coding RNA from Ictalurus punctatus (channel catfish), 3664 nucleotides. The record is from Ensembl. NCBI's taxonomy places the organism in Eukaryota, Metazoa, Chordata, Actinopteri, Siluriformes, Ictaluridae.
GAAAAAAGAUAAGUAGACAUAAAAUCUAAGUCUCUCAGAAGGCAUAAAGAAUUUUUUUUUUUAAAUAAAUAAAUACAAUACUUACCACUAUCUGCACUUGCAGACUGAUUGGCUUCCAUGAAGGAAUUAACAUCUGACAUGUUGAAAGACUCUGGCAGAACUCCAAAGUUUAAGGCCAAACCAGCGUUUAAUGUAUUUUUACUUGUAUUAAUAGCAUGAGCCGGAUCAAAAGAGGACUUAAUUUGUUUACUCCCAUUAUUUGCAUAAUUCCAUCUCUUGUUGAGAUUAAAUGAUAGCAAAACUUUAUUUCGUUUCAGCUUCCUUAUUUUAUCCAUUCUGGUAGAACAUUUUUUUUUCCUGGAUUUUUUCUUGGAUUGAGCUGUAUCUGUAUUUUUCUGUUUGUCAGAGAAUGUAUUUUCAUAUUUUGCUUCAGUCCGAUGUGUUUGUGCAUCUUCUUCAUUUGACAUCAAAGUAGUAAUCAGAUCAAACGCUGAUGUUUUCAUCACAGAGUUAUCCGCAGCAUCAUUUUUUGAUUCUGGUGUUUUUGCACUUUUCUGCUUCUUUGACCUUCUGUUAUUAGACCUCUUUGAUGGCACAUAGGCCUUCUUCCAGGAAUUCCUAACUCGUUGUUUAGGAGUCUGGCGUUUAGUACCGUUAGGGUAUUCAUUCCAACCAGAACCUAUUCUUACAUUAAUUGUUUCUGGGGGAAGAUGCACUGUAUCCAAUGACGUGAAGCCAGAAAUAUUUUUCUUUUGUCUCAGGUUAGAGGUGCCAAAUAAUGCAAGGUUUAUUAGUGUAUCUACUGUCUUAUACUCUGGCAUUGUGAUCUCUUUGUGGUGAUCUCUGCAAUGUUUUCUGCCUGUUAUGGACUCAUGUGAAGUACGUGCUACAAGUGGCGUUUCCAUCAACUCUUCUGACAUUGCAUUUUCUAUUUUAAGUACAUCUUCAUAGUUUGUGACGACAUCCACAAUCUCAAUCUCAUCCAUGCUGGUAUCAUCAUCAUCAUCAUCAUCAUCAAUGGGUGAGGUAACAGAAUUUUUUCUAGUCAUGCUUCUGUAUCCAAGUCUAUUUUUUGUCUGUCUGUUAUCUCUCAGCCCACAAAUAUCAGUAACAGUGAGCUUACAAGCUUUGUUGAAAGGAUGCUUGUGCUCAUCUGCAUUUACCUCCUUCACACUUUUGCCCAAGGUGUCAGCAUCAUGACUCAACUCAGACAUUUUCUCACACUCACAAAGUCCUCCAUUGCUAUAGCCCAAAAUUUGGAACCAUUUAACGAGACAACAGUAGUUCUCCAAUUGUGAAUUGAUUUGAAUUCUAUUGCUCCUUUCAUCUGAUUUAAUUUCAGUGUCCAUGUGAUUUAUAUCCUGGGCAAAUAAUUCCACAGUGUCUUGACCCUUGCUGUCUGUCGAAAUUUGUGUGUCUCCUUUUUGCAUGUUGUCCACCUCUCCAUCUGGCUCAACAGCAAGCAAUCUUCUAGGUUUCUCUGGUGGAAGGAUGCUCAUCUCAACAGAAAUGGAGUUUGCAGAACCAUUUUUGUCCAACACAGGUGUUAUGUCUGUGGUGGGGAGUUUAAGCAAAUUCCCUGGUUUUAUACAGCAGUCACUCACAUCUGAUGAUUGUGUACUUGAAGACAGUACCAAGGGUGCCUCUUUUUCACACUUUGUUUUAUUUCGUUUCUCUGAUUGCUCUGUUUUCGUUUGCACAUUUUUCACAGACAUACUAUCUUGCCCUUCUGUCUCUUUGACAGAACAUGUAUUUACAACAUCCAUGUCCACUGGCUCUUUUCUUACCAUUUUGUAACCUUCAGCACUUGAGUUCUUUUGAUGCUCAGGUGAUAAUUGUCUUCUCAGUCUCUCUACUCCACUUAGUGCUUUAUUAGAUACCUUUAUCUUCUCAUUUGUAUGCUCCUGUAUGUUUUCAGUCUCUUUCAUUGGCACUCCCUUGUCAGCAAUUUUCGGUUUGAGAUGCAAAGUCAUUAAGGAUGACAGACAAUCAUGUUCCAUGUCUAUAUCGUUGAGUUUCUCAUUGAGAUUCAACCAGGAUGAUGUGUACACCAUCUUGGGUGGUGCAAUGCCAUGUUCUAAAAUGUGAACGCUUGAUGCAACUUCAUUCAGUCUCUCUCUCGAAACUCCCUGGAGUAUUACAGAAUUUUCUCUUCCACAGUGAAGUCUGACUUCUUUAAUGAUGUCGACAUAAAUGUUUGAUUUUGCUACACUGCAUAAUUUCUUAUAAUCUCCAUUCCAAUACAACUUUAGAAUCUCACUGGAGAGGUCAUUAAAAGGCAUUUCUUUCUGCUGACUUAUUUGCAUCUGCUCCAAGUCAGCCACCAAAGUGUGCAAUCUCUGAAGAGACCACUCAUUUACAGGUAAGGUAGACAACUUAUCCAUUCUAGUUUCUGUGCCCUCAGAAUUUCUGCCCAUCACCGUAGCAUCAUCUUCAUUCAGAAAUUUAGCACUAGUGUUAUCGUCAGUGGGAUACAGCUGUACUGCCUCCUUUCUCUCCAUACUCACACUAUUAAGAGGGACUGAGGACAAUCUUUCACUCUCAACAUGAAGUUUAUAAUUCUCAGCAGGCCCAUCAUCCUUUAUACAAUGGGAAAGUCCAGUGGCUAAUACUGAUUUUGACGGUACUUCAUUUGUUUGCAAUGUUUUAUCACACAAAGGUGUCUCACCACUUUCAUUAGUUGUUGAUUGUAAAGUAUGUGGAGUGUACAGUCGAUUGUCAGUAUUUGGUACAGAUCUUGUUUCAAGGCCUCCCUCCUUCACUUUGGUCAGGUUCUUUGAAAAUGUCACACCUGCCACCACCUGCUGAGUCAAUGGUGUGACAACAGCAAUAGCUUUCUGAGACACAUACUUCUGCUGAUAGAUAUCUUUAGGCAUACAAGCAUUUCCAUGACAACAUUUGAGUGUUUGAGCUUGUGCUAAAUUAACACCAAAAUGUCCAACAUGUCCAUCACUGAACAAUCCCAGGCAGAUGGUGUCAUUAGGUAAAAAAUUAGUAAUCUUCACAUGCUGCUGCUGACUGUAUUGAUUAUUCUUCCAGCUUCCACUGAGAUUAUUAGUAUUCAGAACAAUCAUGUGUGACAUAGACUGCUGUGUAUUCAUAGUCGUUGAGGCAGAAGAUGCAUUUUGGCGCUUGAAAGAUGAAGAAAACUGAAUUUGGCCACUGCUAAUUUGCAGACUUGGUGGCGGUCGUUUCCAGUCACUUCCAAAUGUCGUUGGUCCUUCAGAAGAAAGGAUUUCCUUGUACUUUAAAAUAGUUUCCAGAGGUAUUGUUAUGUUAUUAGAUGUUUGGCUUAGAUGAUUGGAUGUAUGAUCUCCAGAGCCACCAAGCUUUUCCAUUGUUUAGGAAGUAUAAACUGGUUUGCAUUCUUUUCUAAUUCAAAUUUGCACACCAACAGGAUGGGUUGAUGCAAGCUGAAAGAGGGCAAGAAGUUAAUUUUUCUGUAUGGAAAAUCCUCAGAAAUCUAUGUUUCGCAGUUUUCGCUAGUUUUCACUGAAUAACAGGCUAACAGACCUUUUCUUCUCCUCCCUCCUCCUUCUAUUAUUAGGAGAAAGUCCCGGCUGCAGCCUGCAGAAAGGGGUGGGGCUACAUAUGUCGCUCCGCCCACAAGCAGUCUCAUUGGUUAGUGGCAAUGUAAUGACGUCGUCAGUGUUAUCACACAACA